This 163-nucleotide small RNA is filed under the name Thermobrachium celere. RNAcentral's name for it is "Magnesium sequence". It matches the Rfam family "M-box riboswitch aptamer (ykoK leader)". From Rfam's summary of the family: M-box riboswitch, also know as ykoK leader is described as a metaloregulatory RNA that sense divalent metals and function as a genetic control element of genes related to divalent metal transport in bacteria. It was first reported upstream of the B.subtilis ykoK gene and genes with related functions in other bacteria. RNAcentral also lists the same sequence under 1 other name. The record is from RNAcentral. Lineage: Bacteria; Bacillati; Bacillota; Clostridia; Eubacteriales; Clostridiaceae.
AAAUACGAUUGUUAGGUGAGGCUCCUACAAAGAUAUAUGCUACUGCCCAGAAAAAUCGAGAGAUUCCAAUGGGUUAACAGAAAUAAUCGUGAAGGUUAUUUCUAAUGUAGCUGACGAAGAGUCUACGCUUUGUAGUGCUAAAGCUCAACAAUAAAGAAAUGUA